CUCGUGUACAUCUAUAGUACAAAAACCAAAGGGAAACACACCGGGGUAUCUCGAUCCUAAACCGCGGAGAAAUCCCUCAAAACAAUCAGAAAAAGGGGAAUGUGACAUCAGUCUUUUGUAACAAUCAGAAAAUAGGUUGAGAAAUCAGUCCUUCAAAACAUUCGAAAAUCAGUCACUCAGAACACACAUAAAACAGUAACAGUCCUUCAAAUCACAAAUUAAUCACUCACUGUUCUUCAGAACAAUUAUAAAACAGUCCUUCAAAACAUUUAUAAAACAUAUGGUUGCAAAUUAAAAGCAUUUACACCGAG
Molecule: long non-coding RNA, 311 nt
Filed under: Mytilus galloprovincialis (Mediterranean mussel)
Lineage: Eukaryota; Metazoa; Mollusca; Bivalvia; Mytilida; Mytilidae
Source: RNAcentral